Molecule: long non-coding RNA, 1111 nt
Organism: Mauremys mutica (yellowpond turtle)
Lineage: Eukaryota; Metazoa; Chordata; Testudines; Geoemydidae
Exons: 4
Source: RefSeq, a predicted model, not a curated record
AUGGAAACCAGGCCUAGGAAAGGUUUGGAGAACAGGAGCCACCACCAGAAUGGAACCCAAUGGCUCCUGGUCCUGCCAGGGAAUAGCAAGGUGAGGGGGCAAGCGGAAGAGAAGGAGAAAAGCCAGAGAAAGGUAUAAGAGCAGGUGGAGGAUGGCACGGCAGACAAGAACAGAGAAGAGCAAGAAAUAAGUUUAUUUUGGAUCUGGUCCCAAGUCAUCUUUUUUCCUAAGGGCAUUAAGAAGUUUGUGGUUGACGGCUGCAGAAAUACUCGGUUUGAAGUGAAUGCUGCCCUUGUGAAGACCUGCCAUAUAGCAUCAUCUGCCUGGCAGCCACAACCAAGCUGGAUAAUGAGGAAAAGCAUGCUGAGGUUCUGGGAAGAUCAUACCCAAGAUGCCUGCCCCUGCUCUACAGAGGCCUCUGGAGGGCAGGAGAGAAAGAAGAGGAUCUAAAGAAUGAGUUCUUCCUUGAGUUGCAGCAGGAGAUGAAGAGGGGCUCUGAGCGCCAGUGUUUCCAUGGAUGUGUGGAAACUGGAGAAGCAAUACACACUUUGGGGUGAGGAGGGUUGGCAGGAGGAGGCUGAGAGGCUGAGGUUACAGAUGGAGAAGGAAAACCAACCCCUUAGGAUAUUAUAUUUAGCACAAGAAGCCCCUGAGGCAAAUGAAGAUAGUAAAGCAUGCGGUGUUCCUGAGCCUGCUGCAUGAGGCAAUCCUGGCUUGGAACUGCCCACCAGGAGUGCUGCCAGCUUCUGCGGCCUGGCAUUGACUCCCACCAGCUUUGCUCAGGCCCAGCUUCAAAGCCCACUGAAGUCAAUGGAAAGACUCCCACAGCCUCUAAUGACUCCUCCAAUCAUAUCCUGUGUCCUCCUCACAGUCCUCUUCCUUCCCGCCAUCUCCUCCAUAGCUUCCGUCCCCUACUCCUGUGCCAAGAUCACCAGUGUUGUCCUACUGCCAGGAAUGCCCCAUGCGCUCAGACCCUGAUGGUCCCUCUCUGGAAGCCGCUCUCCCUCUGGAGCCAGUUUUGGUUUAGUAGGAGCAUGGCAUGGGCACUGUGUUUAUUGAUUGAGCAAAGAGCACGGCACCGCUUUAGCAAACAUUUUAUUGGGUGCUUAAG